CGGCUCUGAAAUCACUGCUCUGACAACACUGCUCCUGAACUGCAGUAUUACCUAUUGAUCCCAGCUAACGUGGUUUUAACAUUCAAUGUAGAUGAAAAGCUAUAUUAGAUUUUUUUCCUGCUGUUCAUUACUAUUUGUCCGGAGACAACUGAAUUAAGAAAGGAAAGUGAUACCCGUUAAAAGCUUGGUUCAUGCUUUGUAAGGUAAGAUACUGAAGUCUAACAUUCGCAAACUUCACAUCUAGUUCUUCUAAUUCGUAGACAUAGAAUAUUUGAAUGGCCCCACAUAUAUAUCUGUUCCCACAAAACUGAUUGAAUUCACUCAUCUCAAAUGGAUAACUGACCCACUGCUCAAAUGUUCUCCUUUUCAACCGAAUUAAAAGCUAUUCCAUUAGAAUCUAUGAGGCUAGCAGAGUCAAGAGGUUCAUAUUAUUUAGGUCAGCUUGGAACUGUUACGCUAAAGUGCAGUUUGACGAAUGUAACCUUUCUAAACCAAUUUGUUUCUUUUCCCUGUUUCUUUCCCAGCUCAUCCUCAGCAAAGGGCACAUUAAAGUUGAAAUUACCUUAGCACUGCAUUUUGAGGCCUGAUCUUAUGGAAAUAAUAUUACGUUUAUUACAACUGUGCAUACAUUUUGUAUCGACUAUGCAUUAUUGUGGGUUUCAAGAUGAAAAUUAUUGCAAAUUAUAAACAUCACAGAAUAUAUGAACAUUCUCCAGAAAAGCAUAAAAAAGCACUAAAUAGAUUUAUAUUCAAUAGUAACUGGCAUUAAAAAAAAUAAUACAAAAACUACAUCACUCAACACCUUAUACGCACAUUAAAAAACAAGAAUGAAACCAAAAGAAGAUUGUCCCUUUACACUUCAAGGGGAAGAAAAUGACAGAAAGAAAACAAACAAAAAACACAACAAAAGAAAGGACUGCUGUAAAUUAGCAUCUUUUCUGAGCAAAGUUAAAAGCUGACUGCUCAAAUACUGUUCUAUUAUUUGGUGCGUUCACAGUCUUUAAUGAACCUGUGCUACAGUAUUAGAAAUGUUUUCAUUAGAACCUUUUACUGCCUUUCAAACUUGCAGAGAUUUAAAUCAUCAGAAUGUCCUUACUAUUCAUAAGCUAACAACAGACACUUGUUCCACUUCUUAAUACAAAAGAAUCCUUCGUUCGAUUGCCUUGCGGCAUAUAGGGCAUUCACUCAUUCGGUCUCCACAGAGCUGACACGUCCCAUGGCCACAGAGAAAGAUCAUAUUCUUCAGACGGUCCAAACAGACAGGACACAUAGUCUGUUCCUUGAUGUCCUGUAACUGCUGCUGCAGCUUCUGUACAUCUGCAUUGACGUUAGUGUUGUCUUUGUCUUUCUGCAUAACUGGAAUGUUACCACUUGAAAUAUCAUCAGUGGUAUCUUCUGUACCUUUCCCUCCACAGCACAUUAUGAAAGGCACUCUUCGUUCUACUACUGCCCGACACUGUACACAUUUCUUCAUCAAGCUUGCACAAUUCUCACAAGCACACAUAUGACCACAAGGCUGGAAAAGGACUGCCGCCUUUUUGUCCGAACACACUACGCAUUCUUCAAUCUUUGUCCUCGACUGAACUUGUUCUUUACAGAUGAGGCAUUUUUUCACCCGUGGUGAGCACAGAGAACAAGUGGCAAUAUGUCCACACGGGCCAAACAGAGUAUCUCUUUUCAUAUCUGAACACACCAUGCAUUCUUCUAAGGUUUCAGAGUCAUUGUUGAUCAUAGAUGGACUUCGGGAACCAACCUGACCACUGACUUUUUCUUUGUGGCAUUUUGCCAGUGCUUUGCAGAGGCUAGGGUCAGGGCAGAGAUCAAGAGGAGACUGACCCUUCUUAUUACGAAUGCUGAGGUCGGCUCCGUUGGCUGCCAGGAAGCAGGCAAUAGAUGCUGCACUCUUCUUCUCUGCUCCCUGAGUGCCAAGUCCCAUUAUUAAUGUGUUCUUUGAUGGCUCCCAAGCAGUAUCUACCUUGCCCACAUCUUGCAUGUCUUGGAGCUGGCGAAGCUGUGACAGGGUGUGGUGUCGCAGGGCUUCAUGCAGGGGAGUAUCCCCAUCUUUAUCCUGGAUAUCCAGCUUAGCACCUGCACGGACUAAGAGCCUAACAAUCUGUG
RNAcentral lists this long non-coding RNA (2118 nucleotides) under Gallus gallus (chicken). The record is from RNAcentral. Lineage: Eukaryota; Metazoa; Chordata; Aves; Galliformes; Phasianidae.